UAGCCACGCUCCUCCUCCUUCCGGGGACCAGGGGAAGUCCCGCCUCUGGGAGGAGCAGGGGGCGGAGCCGGCGGCGGGAGGGGGCAUCUUCCGGGAGCGCGUGCUGGGGGAGGAGCGGUCGCCGCGCGUUAGUCAGGGAUCGGUGCGGGUCCUGGUUCCAAUUGAGCCUGUGCCAAAUGUGCUCCUGCCACAUCAUCCCCACUUGAGAACACUGCUAUAGAGCUACAAGAUUAUAGGUAUUUGGUCUGCUGUUCAAAUUAUUGAAGGUGAAAUGUCGGAUCCAGCUCUGAGGAUUUGAACCGUAGACCAGAUCUCUGGAGAGGAGACAGAUGUUCAAAGACAAAUUUCAGGUACUCUGAUGCAGGUAUACCCCAAUAUAUAAUGACUACCAGUCACAAUCCAUAUUCAGAACCCCAGACUCCUCUUCCCUAUAGUGUCUAUAGGAGAUUCUCUAGAAAUUUCUCUGUCAGUUAAAGAAAACAGUGAAAUUUCUCUGUCUGUUUCUUUUCUAUCAGUUCCGUUAUUUCUUCGUCUCCUUGGUUGCCUAUCUCUGGAAUCCUCAUCUCCACUCUGUCGAAGGCGACAGCUGAUGUUUCUGCUGAUUGCUUUCUGCAUCCCGGGAACUCUGACUUAUAUAGUAUUUAUGCUGUGAGUGCUAUGAUAGAUUGUAGGACAGCACAGCUAAGGCAAGGCUUUCAUAUCUGAUAAGGAUUUAGAAACAGCUAUGGGAUAAACAAGGGAAUUGGCAACCCAGUGGGCAGCUUAUAAUUACUGAAAUGUGGACCGUCUUACAACUUCCAGACUCAUGCUUGUUGGUGACUGCAUUAAGCAUUACCUGUGUCUGUCAUAUUUGGUUCUUCUCUCCUUUUGGGCACUCAAGUUUUAGCCCCCGUGGCAGUCAGAUAAACCAUGAGACUAGUUCUGGUCAAUAGCUUGUGAAGGAAAACAGGAUAUGGGAGGUCCCAGGCAAAAUUUCCUUUGCAAGCCCCUACCUAUAUAAACAAUUUGAUCUAAAAGCGUAUUACAAAAUUCAUAGGGCUGUGGGAGGUAUUUAUCAAUGAAAGUUUAGAAUAAUGGUUAUAGAAGUAUGUAGGUAUUUGAUUAUUGCCCAAUCAUUUGCAGGUAAAGAUUUGUUUUGUAGUGUCCAGGAACCAUCUCUUUAUUUUUCAGUUCCAGAACUAUGUUUUCGCCUUUAUUGUCAAAUGCACCAUUUCUGGCAAAUUUAAUAUCUUGCACUGGGAGAAAAGGAUGGCAACACUGUUAUUACUUACAAUGCCAUGGCUCUUUGGAAGCUGUUUGUAUUGAAACAAUAUAGAGUUCCUUGCCUCUGCACUCCUCCAGUUCCAGGCGUUGAAUGCUGCUUAUAUCAUCAGUCCUGACACUGCAUUACCCAUUCUGCCAUUCCUGAAUCCUGGCUUCCAAUGAUUCCCUCAAAGGUUGUUACUAGGCUUUUGUUUUGUUUUGUUUUUGAUGAUGCUCACACGUCAUCUUCCCCAUGCAUGAAAAAAAAAUGUGAAUAAUCAUUCAUUUUUGGUCAUGUUAUGUGUCCUGUUUAGAAGGUUAUAGUGUAAGGGAAUAUAACACAACUUCUGGCCAUCUCUUCUCUUAAACUCCAUCGGGCUGUCAUCUCUGCAUUCCUAAAAUGCAAUCUCUUUCAAUGUUGUUUACAUCCCUGAAUUUCACAUGCUGACAAGGGCAGGGAGGGUAGGUGAGAGGCCCGUGGGCAGAGUGAGAAGAGCAGCCUCAUUCACACAACGAAUGUCUGGUCGCUCAUCUGGCAUGCUUAAGACAGACCUGAAAGAAUGUGCCAUCACCACAGCAACUGGAGGCAAGAGAAGACAUCAACUCCAGAGCCCAUUGGUGUUAAAGAGCAGUGAUGUAAGUAAACAUUUGCUCCAGAAGGACAGGCAAUCACCACAUCCUCCCACUCUCUGUCAUGUAAUGCUGAGCCUUCAUGAGAGGUGGCAUCAGCUCUGCGUGUCAGCAGCGGGAAGUCCACAGAAUAAAAGAUACCUGCUGUCACUCUCAGAUGCUGUAGACUAGAGGUGGUUUUACAAAUUAAACAUGGACAGGUGAGAGCUGACAUAAGGGCUCAAACAUGGUUUCAGCACAAGUGUUGGUAGGGGACAGAUGGUGGUUAAGAACAAAGGAUUUUGUCCAGCAUAAGUGAGGAUCACCCAAAAUGGACAUGUCAGUACCAUUCUGGAGGCCCAAUUCUGUGUGAUUCCACAAAAGAAGUAUCAUGCUGACCAGCAGGAGCAAUUAGGCUAAUCUUGAGUGGCAGUGUGGAGGCGGGUUGCUUGCUGAUCCGUAAGGGACGAGGAUUGUGAGCGAGAAAUAAGCUAGUUUGGUGUCAAGUCUAUAAGGCUUUUUGUUACCACAGGAAAACCUUGUCUGCCCUGACUGACACAGACCCCAUUCAUGGGUGUUUGCUCUUCAGCCACAGGCCAGGCUCCUUGCUUACCAGUUCUUAUGUCAGAAGGUGAACUGAGGAUUAUCCAAGUAAACACAUGUAUAGUAUUUAGAAAGGUAAAUGUUAGCUAUUACUUGCAGUUAUUACUAUCGGCAUUUGUUCUCAUGUUAGAGACUAACUUAUCAGUGAGAUAUCUUUCAGAAUAUUUCAUACAGGUCAGUCUCCAACUGUCAUCGAGAAUUUUUUCAUCUGACUAGAUCAAGACCUACCCUGUGUGUUCUCUUUUCUAGUUCUGUAACUGACUUUUUUUUUUUUAUAACAAUAGACAAUGAGAAAUCUUACUCCUACUAGUGAGAGAAUUCCAUCCUUCACUCUCAAGAGAACAAGCUUCCCUCAUGGUCCAGAUAGGACCACAAUAACUUAGUGUACAGAACAUAUAUUGAAAUCUGACUCAUCAGUCGUGGGGCCCAAAUUAAGCUUCACAACUCUUUAUAAUAACAACUACAAACAUUGGUUGAAUGUUUACUGUUUGCCAGGCAACAUUCUAAGUGCUUCCCGCAUAUUAACUCAUCUGUCAUCCUUAUGCAAACCUAUCCCGCAAAGCACGAUAGUUUAUGGUUACCUAUUAUGAGGAAGUGAGGUACAGAGAGGCUAAUUGCUUUGUCCAAAGUCAUGGAGCUACUCAGUUUGACCCACAAUUUCAAUGUGUGCAGUCUGCUUUCAGAGUCUAGGCUCUUAACGACUUCACUCUGUCUCUGUUUAUUCUGAUAACAUGCUAACUUGAUACACAUGACUUGUGGUUUUUUUUUUUUGGGGGGGGUUAUUUUUAAUAGCCAUGUUUCUAGAAAGAGUUGAAGAUCAGAGAUGAGGCCUAUGCCAUCAUCCUGUAGUCUUCUGGAUCUCAGGAUCAUGAUUCAGAAUUCUCAAGAACACACACACACACACACACACACACACACACACACACACACACUUCCUCAAGUGCACUUGGUAAAUAAUGAAGUUUUGCUGCCCGGCAGUGUUCAAGUCUUUAUUCAUUUAUUUAGGAGGUAUUUAUUGAGUGUCUACUGAGUGCCAAGCAUUGUUCUGGGUGCUAAGGCAGUGAACAAGACAGUCUCCGCCCUGAAGGAGCUGAGAAUCUCAGGGACACUUUAUAGCAUUCUAAUACGUUCCUAUAGCUCCUACCACCCAGGCUUCAGGAUGCCGUGCCACAAUUGAUCAUUUUCUUACAUUACCAGCAUCCUGUCUGUGCCUCUUGUUUGUAGUAAGUCAUUCAGUGUGAAGUAUGAGCCUCAAGUCAAAUUCUGCCAGUGGAACUGAUGAGAGGUGGCGAAUGACUCAAAUGGAGGAGAAGAGAGAUUUGCAAGCUGGAGUGGGUUUGUGGAAAGGACUUCAUGUGAGUCCAGAUCAAGAAGCAAAAUGAAAAGAAUGAAAUUCUUGGACGGUUCUGUUUACAAGUUAAAACCUACAACUUACCCCUAGAGGGCGCUCUUCACUUUGUUAUCUCUCAGAAGCCUUGCCUGGCAAUGGCUGCCAUUCAAAUGGAAAACAUCGCACUUAAUGUUUGUGAAUUGUGUAAGAAUAAUCAGAAGAACCCCACAAUGCUGGGCAGAUUUUUUACCCCUAACGCUUCUGUUGGUUGUGAUGUAAAGUCCUUGACUAAAUCAAAUGUAAACUGUAAGGAUUCAGCAAAUCCAGGUUGCCUGUGCAAAUAUCCAUAACAUGUAAUUCACUAUCAACAUUUUUAUUCUCAUAAAACAGACAAAGCACACAAUUAAGAAACUUUAUGCUUCUCUCAUGUUUUCACUUUCAUAGAAGCGAUUUCGCAUAUUGAUCACUUUCAUACCAUAUCUUUGUGAGAGGUUUUAUAGCACAAAGUCAAAUAGUUCAUUGGUUUCUUUUUUCUUCUUUUUUUUUUUUUCCAGAAUGAUAAAUAAUUGACCUUAUAAAAAUCCUGAUCAUUGAACUAAUUUCAUGGAGCUGGUCUAACAUAUCCCUAACUCUGAGGUUUUAUAAGUUUGCUUUCUUUUUUUUUUCAAUUAAAAAAAAUACUUAUUUAUUUUUGAGAGAGACACACAGAGUGUGAGUGGGAAGGGGCAGAGAGCUAGGGAGACACAGAUUCUGAAGCA
Molecule: long non-coding RNA, 4542 nt
Organism: Prionailurus viverrinus (fishing cat)
Lineage: Eukaryota; Metazoa; Chordata; Mammalia; Carnivora; Felidae
Exons: 4
Source: RefSeq, a predicted model, not a curated record